Molecule: ribosomal RNA, 398 nt
Filed under: uncultured bacterium
Lineage: Bacteria
Description: partial 16S ribosomal RNA
Rfam family: Bacterial small subunit ribosomal RNA
Source: RNAcentral
AAUAUUGGACAAUGGGCGAAAGCCUGAUCCAGCCAUGCCGCGUGAGUGAUGACGGCCCUAGGGUUGUAAAGCUCUUUCGCAGGUGAAGAUAAUGACGGUAACCUGAGAAGAAGCCCCGGCUAACUCCGUGCCAGCAGCCGCGGUAAUACGGAGGGGGCUAGCGUUGUUCGGAUUUACUGGGCGUAAAGGGCGCGUAGGCGGAUGUUCGCGUCAGAGGUGAAAGCCCCGGGCUCAACCUGGGAACUGCCUUUGAAACGGGACAUCUUGAGUUCGAGAGAGGUGAGUGGAAUUCCGAGUGUAGAGGUGAAAUUCGUAGAUAUUCGGAGGAACACCAGUGGCGAAGGCGGCUCACUGGCUCGAUACUGACGCUGAGGUGCGAAAGCGUGGGGAGCAAACAG